GAUGAAGAACGCAGCGAAAUGCGAUAAGUAAUGUGAAUUGCAGAAUUCAGUGAAUCAUCGAAUCUUUGAACGCACAUUGCGCCCGCCAGUACUCUGGCGGGCAUGCCUGUUCGAGCGUCAUUUCAACCCUCAAGCCCCCCGGCUUGGUGUUGGGGCCCUGCGGCUGCCGCAGGCCCCGAAAUGGAGUGGCGGGCUCGCAGCGAACUCCGAGCGUAGUAGAAUCCUAUCUCGCUAGGGAGGCGCGGCGCGCUCCGGCCGUUAAAGGAACUUCUUUUAACCCAAGGUUGACCUCGGAUCAGGUAGGAAUACCCGCUGAACUUAAGCAUAUCAAUAAGCGGAGGA
RNAcentral lists this unclassified non-coding RNA (342 nucleotides) under soil metagenome. RNAcentral describes it as "partial contains 5.8S ribosomal RNA, internal transcribed spacer 2, and large subunit ribosomal RNA". The stretch from base 1 to 120 matches the Rfam family "5.8S ribosomal RNA", at positions 35 to 154 of the family's 154-position model. The record is from RNAcentral.